Molecule: ribosomal RNA, 344 nt
Filed under: uncultured Verrucomicrobiota bacterium
Lineage: Bacteria; Pseudomonadati; Verrucomicrobiota
Description: bacterial SSU rRNA
Rfam family: Bacterial small subunit ribosomal RNA
Source: RNAcentral
AACGAACGCUGGCGGCGUGGAUAAGACAUGCAAGUCGGACGACCAUUACGAGGUAGCAAUAUUUCGUGGUGGGAGUGGCGUAAGGGUGCUUAACACGUGGGUAAUCUGCCGUAAAGCCCGGAAUAACUCGCUGAAAGGCGAGCUAAUACCGGAUGUGAUUUCGGAGGGGCCUCUCUCUGAAAUUAAAGCUGGGGACCGCAAGGCCUGGCACUUUACGAUGAGCCCGCGGCCUAUCAGCUAGUUGGCGAGGUAACGGCUCACCAAGGCUUAGACGGGUAGCUGGUCUGAGAGGACGACCAGCCACACUGGAACUGAGACACGGUCCAGACACCUACGGGAGGCAG